UUGACCUCGGAUCAGGUAGGGAUACCCGCUGAACUUAAGCAUAUCAAUAAGCGGAGGAAAAGAAACCAACCGGGAUUGCCUCAGUAACGGCGAGUGAAGCGGCAAGAGCUCAAAUUUGAAAGCUGGCUCCUUCGGGGUCCGCAUUGUAAUUUGCAGAGGAUGCUUCGGGUGCGGCCCCUGUCUAAGUGCCCUGGAACGGGCUGUCAGAG
This 209-nucleotide ribosomal RNA is filed under the name Aspergillus taichungensis. RNAcentral's name for it is "partial 28S ribosomal RNA". It matches the Rfam family "Eukaryotic large subunit ribosomal RNA", at positions 1 to 208 of the family's 3401-position model. The record is from RNAcentral. Lineage: Eukaryota; Fungi; Ascomycota; Eurotiomycetes; Eurotiales; Aspergillaceae.